AUGCUGCAGCAGCAGGAAGAUCCAGGGCCUGUGAAAUGAGGAGUGACCCUGGUGAGCAGCACAGCAGCAUCUAUGGAGCCUUUGGAGAGACCAUGGCUAAUAGUUUUAUUCCUACUAAGGUGCAAACAACCUCUGCAAUGACAGCAUCCCUGCAACGGCACAAAAGCAGAGCACAAGCAAUGCUGCACACCUUGCACAGUCAGACUUUGCUUCACCAUGCCAAUGAGCCACCCAGACCUGUGCAUGACUUCUCACCAGCAGGCACCUGCCUGUCUGUAAAGCCAACACAGCUGCAGCUGGCUUUCUCCAGAGCUGCCUGCUGCUGUUCAGCGUGGAGGAGCUUUUCCCAAGGUUUAAUUCUUGGGCCUGCCACAGGACAAAAAGGCAUAACAAAGAGCUGCAAGAGUACAUCCUGUAGAGUGCUGAUCAAGAUCCACCUGGCCAUUCACAACCGGUUUUCAUGACAGCAAGGCCAA
Molecule: long non-coding RNA, 476 nt
Organism: Pogoniulus pusillus (Red-fronted tinkerbird)
Lineage: Eukaryota; Metazoa; Chordata; Aves; Piciformes; Lybiidae
Exons: 2
Source: RefSeq, a predicted model, not a curated record